RNAcentral lists this long non-coding RNA (363 nucleotides) under Homo sapiens (human). RNAcentral describes it as "long non-coding RNA NONHSAT240808". Lineage: Eukaryota; Metazoa; Chordata; Mammalia; Primates; Hominidae. The record is from RNAcentral.
AUUGAGAUUUUGGCAAAAACCCACAUGACAUUUGCGUCUGCAGAGUAGACUUGGAAGGCAUGCACCUGGAGGCCAAGUGGUAUUCUCUGGACUCUCUGUCCUUGCAUUUGCGUGGCUGCCCCGAGGACUCCCUUCUUCCUGGAUGUGAAGCAGAGGCACGGUGGGGCUGACUGAGAGGCUGAAAUGUGCUUCUCUUCACAGUUACAUAGUUUUCUUCUAAUUAAAAAUAAAUUUUAAGUGGUAGAUUAUGAAAAUUCCAUUUGAAUCAAGAUUUUAAAAAUUCAAUAUCAAACCAGUUGUUACUGUCUUCACUCUCCGUUGUUUACGAUUGUGUGCUUUUCCCUGAAUAAAGAAUGACUGGAG